Molecule: long non-coding RNA, 644 nt
Organism: Salvia splendens (bonfire salvia)
Lineage: Eukaryota; Viridiplantae; Streptophyta; Magnoliopsida; Lamiales; Lamiaceae
Exons: 2
Source: RefSeq, a predicted model, not a curated record
UUUGUAGUCAACUACUUGGUCAAAUAUAUAUCUCCAAACCCCAUCACCAAACGAUUUCCUCAUAUCUCCACUCCCUAAAAUCUCUCCAACAAACCAAAUCUCCAUAGAACUUAUUAUAUAUCUCAACUACUCCACAUAUUUCACGUUCCACACAUCCAAAGAAACCGAGAGGGAGUAGAGAGAGACUUUGUUUUUGUCCACCCAAUUCUAUCCUGCAAUUGCAAUUGAAGGGUGAAUCGGAUGAGAGAUCGAGGCCGCCAGAGCGGCGACGCAGCGGCUGCUGCGGCGCCGAGCGACGACGGUGAGUGUGGGCGACGAAUCGAAGUCAGCAGCGGCGUCGACUCCGGUGCAGCGGCGAUUCAGAGCAAGUGACGGAGUUCUAUUUUUUUCUCUCAUUCUUUCGGUGUUGCGAUUCUAGGAGAGAGAGGGAGACCCGACGGGAUUUAUUUGUGGAUGGGUACUGAGUUUCAAGUAGAGUUUUAAACUUCUGUUCAAUGUUUGGGGAAGAACUCAGUAGAAAGAGAGAAUAGCCGAUGGUUUUUAUGAAGGAGAGUGUGUUGUUGGUUUCUUUUAAAAUAAGAAUAAGGGAGUACACGUGUGGUGUGGAAUGGAAGUAAUAUUUUGUUCAAUUGUUUAUUCUAAUU